AGAGUUUGAUCCUGGCUCAGGAUGAACGCUAGCGGGAGGCUUAACACAUGCAAGGCGAGGGGAAACGGAAGUGGCUUGCCACUAGACGUCGACCGGCGCACGGGUGCGUAACGCGUAUACAAUCUGCCUUAUACUGGAGAAUAGCCCAGAGAAAUUUGGAUUAAUGCUCCAUAGUCUUUCUCUCUCGCAUGGGAGAGUUUGUAAAGCUUCGGCGGUAUAAGAUGAGUAUGCGUUCUAUUAGCUAGUUGGUGAGGUAACUGCUCACCAAGGCUACGAUAGAUAGGGGUUCUGAGAGGAUGAUCCCCCACACUGGUACUGAGACACGGACCAGACUCCUACGGGAGGCAGCAGUGAGGAAUAUUGGUCAAUGGACGAAAGUCUGAACCAGCCAUCCCGCGUGAAGGAUGACGGCGCUAUGCGUUGUAAACUUCUUUUAUAUACCAAGAAAAGUAGUCACGUGUGAUUAUCUGACGGUAGUAUAUGAAUAAGGACCGGCUAACUCCGUGCCAGCAGCCGCGGUAAUACGGAGGGUCCGAGCGUUAUCCGGAUUUAUUGGGUUUAAAGGGUUUGUAGGCGGUAAUAUAAGUCAGUGGUGAAAUCCUGCAGCUCAACUGUAGAACUGCCAUUGAAACUGUAUUACUUGAGUAUACUUGAGGUAGGCGGAAUAUGUAGUGUAGCGGUGAAAUGCUUAGAUAUUACAUAGAACACCGAUUGCGAAGGCAGCUUACUAAGGUAUAACUGACGCUGAUGAACGAAAGCGUGGGGAGCGAACAGGAUUAGAUACCCUGGUAGUCCACGCCGUAAACGAUGAUUACUCGCUGUAGGCGAUACACAGUCUGUGGCUAAGCGAAAGUUUUAAGUAAUCCACCUGGGGAGUACGAUCGCAAGA
Molecule: ribosomal RNA, 889 nt
Filed under: uncultured Bacteroidota bacterium
Lineage: Bacteria; Pseudomonadati; Bacteroidota
Description: bacterial SSU rRNA
Rfam family: Bacterial small subunit ribosomal RNA
Source: RNAcentral